UGGGGAAUAUUGCGCAAUGGGCGGAAGCCUGACGCAGCGACGCCGCGUGGGGGAUGAAGGCCUUCGGGUUGUAAACCUCUUUUACCACUCACGCAGGCCUUGGGUUUUCCUGGGGUUGACGGUAGGUGGUGAAUAAGGACCGGCUAACUACGUGCCAGCAGCCGCGGUAAUACGUAGGGUCCGAGCGUUGUCCGGAAUUAUUGGGCGUAAAGCGCGCGCAGGCGGUUCUUUAAGUCUGGUGUAUAAGCCCGUGGCUCAACCACGGGACGCACUGGAAACUGGGGGCUGGAGUGCAGGAGAGGAAAGUGGAAUUCCACGUGUAGCGGUGAAAUGCGUAGAGAUGUGGAGGAACACCAGUGGCGAAGGCGACUUUCUGGCCUGUAACUGACGCUGAGGCGCGAAAGCGUGGGGAGCAAACAGGAUUAGAUACC
This 431-nucleotide ribosomal RNA is filed under the name uncultured bacterium. Its description in RNAcentral is "bacterial SSU rRNA". It matches the Rfam family "Bacterial small subunit ribosomal RNA", at positions 355 to 786 of the family's 1533-position model. The record is from RNAcentral.